RNAcentral lists this ribosomal RNA (520 nucleotides) under uncultured Glomus. RNAcentral describes it as "SSU rRNA". It matches the Rfam family "Eukaryotic small subunit ribosomal RNA", at positions 569 to 1093 of the family's 1831-position model. Lineage: Eukaryota; Fungi; Glomeromycota; Glomeromycetes; Glomerales; Glomeraceae. The record is from RNAcentral.
AGCAGCCGCGGUAAUUCCAGCUCCAAUAGCGUAUAUUAAAGUUGUUGCAGUUAAAAAGCUCGUAGUUGAAUUUCGGGAUCAGUUUGUUGGUCGUGCUUCGGUACGUACUGUCAUUACUGGUUUCUACCUUCUGAAGAACCUUGAUGUCAUUAAUUUGGUGUCUUGGGGAAUCAGGACUGUUACUUUGAAAAAUUAGAGUGUUUAAAGCAAGCUAACGCUUGAAUACAUUAGCAUGGAAUAAUGAAAUAGGACGUUCGAUCCUAUUUUGUUGGUUUCUAGGAUUGACGUAAUGAUUAAUAGGGAUAGUUGGGGGCAUUAGUAUUCAAUUGUCAGAGGUGAAAUUCUUGGAUUUAUUGAAGACUAACUACUGCGAAAGCAUUUGCCAAGGAUGUUUUCAUUAAUCAAGAACGAAAGUUAGGGGAUCGAAGACGAUCAGAUACCGUCGUAGUCUUAACCAUAAACUAUGCCGACUAGGGAUCGGAUGAUGUUAAUUUUUAAUGACUCAUUCGGCGCCUUACGG